CGGCUUGUGGCAGCGCCAUUUUGAACGUGCAGCCGCCUCGGGCGUGAGUCCUUCGGGGUAGGGCAGCCGGCGUGGCGACCUGGGUGUCUUCUCUGACUUUGUCCUUCCAUAUUCCGUUUCUGUAGGUAUAUAUAGUGGUACAGCUAUAGAUCUAGAAUUCUGUCCGGCAUAAGUGAACUCACUAAGAUGAUGUUAAGAGGAAACCUGAAGCAAGUACGCAUUGAGAAAAACCCGGCCCGCCUUCGCGCUCUCGAGUCUGCGGCAGGCGAGAGCGAGCCGACGGCCGCCAUGGCGCUCGCGCUGGCUGGGGAGCCGGCGCCACCUGCCCCGGUGCCCCCGGAGGACCACCCCGACGAGGAGAUGGGCUUCACCAUCGACAUCAAGAGCUUCCUCAAGCCGGGCGAGAAAACGUACACGCAGCGCUGCCGCCUCUUCGUGGGGAACUUGCCCACAGACAUCACGGAGGAGGACUUCAAGCGGCUCUUCGAGCGCUACGGCGAGCCCAGCGAGGUCUUCAUCAAUCGGGACCGUGGCUUCGGCUUCAUCCGUUUGGAAUCCAGAACACUGGCUGAAAUUGCAAAAGCAGAGCUGGAUGGCACCAUUUUGAAGAGCAGACCUCUCCGAAUUCGUUUUGCUACACAUGGAGCAGCCCUAACUGUCAAGAACCUCUCGCCGGUUGUUUCCAAUGAGCUUCUAGAGCAAGCAUUUUCCCAGUUUGGUCCAGUAGAGAAAGCCGUUGUGGUUGUGGAUGAUCGUGGUAGAGCUACAGGAAAAGGUUUUGUAGAAUUUGCAGCAAAACCUCCUGCACGAAAGGCUCUGGAAAGAUGUGGUGAUGGGGCAUUCUUGCUAACAACGACCCCUCGUCCAGUCAUUGUGGAGCCUAUGGAGCAGUUUGAUGAUGAAGAUGGCUUGCCAGAGAAGCUAAUGCAGAAAACUCAACAAUAUCAUAAGGAAAGAGAACAGCCACCACGUUUUGCUCAACCUGGGACAUUUGAAUUUGAGUAUGCAUCUCGAUGGAAGGCUCUUGACGAAAUGGAAAAGCAGCAGCGUGAGCAGGUUGAUAGAAACAUCAGAGAAGCCAAAGAGAAACUGGAAGCAGAAAUGGAAGCAGCUAGGCAUGAACACCAAUUAAUGCUAAUGAGGCAAGAUCUAAUGAGGCGUCAAGAAGAACUCAGACGAUUGGAAGAACUCAGAAACCAAGAGUUGCAAAAACGGAAGCAAAUACAACUGAGACAUGAGGAAGAGCACCGUCGCCGUGAGGAAGAAAUGAUCCGACACAGAGAACAGGAGGAACUCAGGCGACAGCAAGAGGGCUUUAAGCCAAACUAUAUGGAGAAUAGAGAACAGGAAAUGAGAAUGGGUGAUAUGGGUCCCCGUGGAGCAAUAAACAUGGGAGAUGCAUUUAGCCCAGCACCUGCUGGUAACCAAGGUCCUCCUCCAAUGAUGGGUAUGAAUAUGAACAACAGAGGAACUAUACCUGGCCCACCAAUGGGUCCUGGUCCUGCCAUGGGACCAGAAGGAGCUGCAAAUAUGGGAACUCCAAUGAUGCCAGAUAAUGGAGCAGUGGAGGGUGAAAGAAAACAUGGAUGAAGCUGCCUGAAUAUCGGCUUCUGGCAUGAAUCAAGUUCAGAGACUAGGAAAUGCUGGUGUCAGAUUUCCUUUCAGGUCAUCUUGUGGGAGAAAUGCUUUUAAAGACAGAGGAGAAACAGCCAGAAAACAGAUAUUUCAUUUGUGAAUUUAUUACUCCAUAUAAACAACUUACGAAUAAUCGUUAACACUUGACAUUAUGCCUCAUGGACAAAUUUUCCGUGGUUAAAAUAUCUGGAAUGGUGCAAACUUCCACUUUCAGGUGUUUUAAGAGUUCUUGCUGGCUGAUGUUGCAAAGUAGUGUGGGAGUAGCCUACAAAUACAGAAUGACAGACAAACUCUCCUUUCAAUUCGCUAUAAAUGGGAACUGUUAGAGGGAUUUUUUUUGGCAUCCCCUCUAGCCUGCAAUUUGGGGUCAGUCCCCAAGAUAAGGGGCUACUCAUGAAAUUUGGCACUGUUAGAAAAAUCAUGUUUUACUAAAGCCAUGUAUAUAUAUUUAAGCCCAAAGAAAGCAGAGAGUAUGAGGGAAACAGUGUGUUGUAGAAUAAUGAAAAAUUAAUUUCUUCCAAGUUAAACUGAUAUGCAGUGUUAGGGUUAGAUUCCAGCUGGGGUUCUUGGGGGCUCUGGAUGUCGGCAGAGGACUAUUUCUGGAUUUUGAUUUGGUCCUUAUUUGUGCCUCCUCACUGUAAUUAGAUUUAGCUUACUAGUAACACUUUUCUUUACUUGGAAGUAGAUGUGAGGCCUAGAAAUCCCAGUUUGGUCUGAAAGGAGAUUUAUCUGCAAGUCUGCACAGAAAAGAGGAAAGCCGUAUGGAUCCUGUGAGUGGUUCUCUGCGUUUACUUAGCCAAUAAAGUUUAAAAAGUUUACAACAG
This is an RNA transcript of Neofelis nebulosa (Clouded leopard), 2459 nucleotides long. It is a transcript of the gene named paraspeckle component 1, with no coding region annotated. The transcript has 10 exons. The record is from RefSeq and is a predicted model, not a curated record. Lineage: Eukaryota; Metazoa; Chordata; Mammalia; Carnivora; Felidae.